This 528-nucleotide ribosomal RNA is filed under the name Triticum aestivum (bread wheat). RNAcentral's name for it is "partial small subunit ribosomal RNA". Lineage: Eukaryota; Viridiplantae; Streptophyta; Magnoliopsida; Poales; Poaceae. The record is from RNAcentral.
AUGGCGCCUCACGACCCGGAGAGUGAAACGGCGGCGCCCGAGUGGCGCGGCACCGUGCGCGCCGCGGCGGCGGGGCCGACGCCCGACCAGGCGUGGGCUCUGCUGCGAGACUUCUGCUCCCUCAACAAGUGGGUGUCGCUGGUGGAGACUUGCCGGAGGCUGGAAGGCGACGACGGCCGGCCCGGGUGCGUCCGGUACUGCGCGGGGCCGGUGAACAUGGCGGCGCCGGGGGAGGCGGUCGGCUGGUCCAAGGAGCGGCUCCUCGAGGUCGACGCCGCGGGGAGGUCCUACAGCUACGAGGUGGUGGAGACCAACAAGGGGUUCGGCAGGUACCGGGCGACCAUCGGCGUGGAGCCCGACCCGGCCGGGUGCGCGGUCAGGUGGUCGUUCGAGGCCGAUCCAGUCAAGGGGUGGACGCUGGAAGGCUUCGUGGGUUUCCUUGAGAAGCUCGCGCAUGGCGUCGCCAAGAGGCUUGAAGAGGAGAUCAUGGUGAACGUCGAUGGUGAUCCUGCUUUGCCAAUAUUUUGA